Molecule: long non-coding RNA, 825 nt
Organism: Cucumis sativus (cucumber)
Lineage: Eukaryota; Viridiplantae; Streptophyta; Magnoliopsida; Cucurbitales; Cucurbitaceae
Exons: 2
Source: RefSeq, a predicted model, not a curated record
GAAAAAGGGAUUUCAUGGAAGUGUGUGAAGCACAGCAGAUUGGUGGUGAAGAAGGCUUCUUCUACUACAAGGAAAAAAAGUGCUUGAAAAAGACAUUUUACCAAGAACCAUAUGAGAAAUGCAUGAUUUAUUCAAUAAAUGAAUGUGAAUAAUUAAAAAUGCAUCAAAAUCCCUCGUCUAAGCUUAAAAAAAAAAAGGACCAAUAUCAAAACCAACACAAAUCCUUUGCUCUUUCUAAUAUUCUCUCUACAUGAAGUGAAAGACAUUUUCCCUCCACUUCUCUUCUCCAAAUGGGGUGGCUCCAAUCCCUCUUCUCCCCAUUAAAGAAGCUCUGGUUUCGCCUCCAUUCUUCGCCUAAAAAACGAAGAGGGAUAUAUAUUCUGUAUGAGGAUGUGAAAUCCUGUCCCUGUGAAGAUGUGCAUGUGCUUUGGUCAAUAUUAGUGGAAUCACACACUCCAUUGCCACCGAAACAAUGAAGCUUUCAAGUUUCAUCAUCCUAAAUACACAACUUCUCCACCAAUGUACAUAAAAUAUUUAUAAUACUUUAUAUAUUUGAAGGGGGAAAAAAGAAUGCCCAGAAAUAAAAGUUUUCCUUCCCCAUUUUCAUCUCUUUUUUUUUUUUCUUUUGUUCAAAAUUUUUGUGUAGCUUCUUUACAGUUGCUUUGUCCAAAUCAGCAGUUGAGGCGGCAGUUGAAUUCUAAAUUCUAUAUUUUCAAGGUUGAUUCUGAUAAUGACAUGAGACAACUAUUGAAUAGAUGGGACAACCUAAAGAUGUUUUUGCCUUAGAUAUACUAUAAUAAUGCCAAUGCCAUGAAUUUUGAUUCA